GAUGAACGCUGGCGGCGUGCCUAAUACAUGCAAGUCGAACGAAACUUCUUUAUCACCGAGUGCUUGCACUCACCGAUAAAGAGUUGAGUGGCGAACGGGUGAGUAACACGUGGGCAACCUGCCCAAAAGAGGGGGAUAACACUUGGAAACAGGUGCUAAUACCGCAUAACCAUAGUUACCGCAUGGUAACUAUGUAAAAGGUGGCUAUACUACCGCUUUUGGAUGGGCCCGCGGCGCAUUAGCCAGUUGGUAGGGUAAAGGCUUACCAAGGCAAUGAUGCGUAGCCGAAUUGAGAGGUUGAUCGGCCACAUUGGGACUGAGACACGGCCCAAACUCCUACGGGAGGCAGCAGUAGGGAAUCUUCCACAAUGGGCGAAAGCCUGAUGGAGCAACGCCGCGUGGGUGAAGAAGGUCUUCGGAUCGUAAAACCCUGUUGUUAGAGAAGAAAGUGCGUGAGAGUAACUGUUCACGUUUCGACGGUAUCUAACCAGAAAGCCACGGCUAACUACGUG
This 512-nucleotide ribosomal RNA is filed under the name uncultured bacterium. RNAcentral describes it as "partial 16S ribosomal RNA". It matches the Rfam family "Bacterial small subunit ribosomal RNA", at positions 28 to 507 of the family's 1533-position model. The record is from RNAcentral.